GGCGGUAUAGCUCAGUUGGUAGAGCAACGGAAUCAUAAUCCGUGUGUCGUCGGUUCAAGCCCGGCUGCCGCUAC
This 74-nucleotide transfer RNA is filed under the name Candidatus Rubidus massiliensis. RNAcentral describes it as "tRNA-Met". It matches the Rfam family "tRNA". Rfam says of the family: Transfer RNA (tRNA) molecules are approximately 80 nucleotides in length. The record is from RNAcentral. Lineage: Bacteria; Pseudomonadati; Chlamydiota; Chlamydiia; Chlamydiales; Chlamydiaceae.